CUUUUAUAGGAUAGCACUAAUCCAUUGGCCUUAGAAUCCAAAAACUCAAUAUGUUUG
RNAcentral lists this transfer RNA (57 nucleotides) under Lemmiscus curtatus (Sagebrush vole). Its description in RNAcentral is "tRNA-Leu". Lineage: Eukaryota; Metazoa; Chordata; Mammalia; Rodentia; Cricetidae. The record is from RNAcentral.